GGCGCGCCUCAGGACUUCGGGUCCCCUCACCCCGGGCGGAUGCCCAAAGACUCCGCCUUCCCAAGAGCCCCUGCGGCCGGGCGCGAAGAUGGCGGCGGCGGCGACGGCCGGGCGCUCCUGAAGCAGCAGUUAUGGAGCUUCCCUCAGGGCCGGGGCCGGAGCGGCUCUUUGACUCGCACCGGUAAGAGACCCGGCGGGAAGAGACCGAUCCCCGCGUCCUCUCGGCCUUCGGCGCCUGACCACUUCGCCUCUCGCCCCCAGGCUCCCGGGUGACUGCUUCCUCCUGCUCGCGCUGCUGCUCUACGCGCCAGUCGGGUUCUGCCUCCUCGUCCUGCGCCUCUUUCUCGGGAUCCACGUCUUCCUGGUCAGCUGCGCGCUGCCAGACAGCGUCCUUCGCAGGUUCCGACGCGGGCGUUCGGGGAGUGUCAGAGCUGGGUCUGGCCCGAGGCCACACAGUCACCACCUCCUGUGUCCCCAGAUUCGUAGUGCGGACCAUGUGUGCGGUGCUAGGGCUCGUGGCCCGGCAGGAGGACUCCGGACUCCGGGAUCACAGUGUCAGGGUCCUCAUUUCCAACCAUGUGACACCUUUCGACCACAACAUAGUCAAUUUGCUUACCACCUGUAGCACCCCUCUACUCAAUAGUCCCCCCAGCUUUGUGUGCUGGUCUCGGGGCUUCAUGGAGAUGAAUGGGCGGGGGGAGUUGGUGGAGUCACUCAAGAGAUUCUGUGCUUCCACGAGGCUU
RNAcentral lists this small RNA (743 nucleotides) under Pan troglodytes (chimpanzee). Its description in RNAcentral is "retained intron". Lineage: Eukaryota; Metazoa; Chordata; Mammalia; Primates; Hominidae. The record is from RNAcentral.